UAAUAAUAAUAAUAAUAAUAAUAAUUGUAUAUGGCACACUGCAAAAAUAUUAAAUAGUAAAUAUAUUUUUAUAAAAUUUAAGUUAUCACAUUUAUCUCUCUAAAAAUCCUUAUAUUUGUAAAUAUAUCUUUCGUUUACCAAAAUUACUAACCAUAGUUAGCUAAGGAGUAAAAUAACUUUUUGACCUCUUAUGUGUAUAAUUUGUAUUGUAAUGUUAAGUCUCGUCAUCUUUCUCUACCUCUUUUUUUUAUUUAUAGUGACGGUGAAACCUAUGAAAUUGAGGACGUCGUAGGCAAAACCCUUGAUUCGCGGCAAAAAUGAGGUACGCCACACAUGCCGCGACGAAGGAGAGAGAGAAAGAAAGAUAGCUUUUUGUGAAAAUACAUUUGUAAAAAUAAAAUAAUCAUUUUACAUACUUAAAAAUCUAACGGUGAAUCAAACGAUAGAGAUCUACCCUUUUGAUCAUUUUCACCCGUUAGAUCAUACUAUUCAACCAACCACCCACUCAACCCUAGGGCGCCCACAUCAUUCUAAGCGCACAUCUCUUAAUCCAAUGGCCAAAAACUUAGUAGCAAUAAUGACUUGAUGCUAUUAAUAGCAUAGUAACCUAGUUCUAUAUAUAUAUAUAUAUAUAUAUAUAUAUAUGAACGAACCACAAUUUUUGGAGAAGAGAUAUAUUUGCAAACGAGAGAUUUUUCGAAAAGGAUAAAUCUGAUAACUUAAAUUUUGUAUGGAUAUAUUUGUUAUUUAGAGUCCGGCUAUGGUGCUUGUAAAAGCACCAAGCACUUGGUGCUUGUGAAUUUUUUAGCGUUAGAUCUACGCCUUUAAUCAUUUUCACCCGUUAGAUUAUACUCUUCAACCAACUAACCACUCAACCCUACGGGGCCCGCAUCAUCCUAACCGUAUAUCCCUUAAUCCAAGGGCCGAAAACUUACAAGCACUAAUGACUUAAGUACUUUUAAAAGUAUAGGAGCUCAAUUUUUAUUAUUUAAUAUCUUAAUUUGCGGGAACCUGUAUGAAAUUAAUCUAAAAAAAUAUAUUGAGCUUUUCUUAAAACUAUUGUCCAAUUUGAUCCGAUUGUCCACUAACUUUUAAAUUAUAGUUUGUUUAUAAUACCUAAUUUUCAAUUCUUCUAACUUGGAGAAUUUAAUGGCUCUUUUGCCAUAAAAUUUCAACACACCGAUCACUUGCUCUAAUAUAAAAAACGUGGUAUAUUUUAAUCAAGUUUAUUAAAACAAACGGCGCACCUGAAUUCUAAAUUGAAAUUAAGAGUCAUCAAAUUACUCAAAUUAAAUAAAUUAAAAGAUCAGAUAGUAAAAUUCAAACUUUCAAAAGUAAAAAGAAAAAAGAAUGAACUGCGUAAAAAUUAAAUCAUGUUAUCUCUUACACAGUUAGAGUAAGACAGGUUACACUUCAGGUAUAAUUUAAACAAGUUUUUUAUAUUUUUAUCUAGGGUUUGUUUGAAUUCUCGUAAAACCACUCUGAAAAAUACUUUUCGUUCAAAAAAUAAAUUUCUAUAAUUUGAUUGUUCAUAUUACGGAUUCUCAAAAAACUAAGUCUUUUAUUUUCCACUCUCUUCGAGUGGAAAACGAAAACUUGGUGCUGAAAAAACGCGGCUCAGGCAAUGCGUUAACACACGGUCCUCUUGAAAGAGAGUCCACAAGGGACCUGGACCCGUGGACUCUCUCUCCCUCAUUCAUUAUAUAUAUAUAUAUAUAUAUAUAUAUAUAUAUAUAUGAACGAACCACAAUUUUUGGAGAAGAGAUAUAUUUGCAAACGAGAGAUUUUUCGAAAAGGAUAAAUCUGAUAACUUAAAUUUUGUAUGGAUAUAUUUGUUAUUUAGAGUCCGGCUAUGGUGCUUGUAAAAGCACCAAGCACUUGGUGCUUGUGAAUUUUUUAGCGUUAGAUCUACGCCUUUAAUCAUUUUCACCCGUUAGAUUAUACUCUUCAACCAACUAACCACUCAACCCUACGGGGCCCGCAUCAUCCUAACCGUAUAUCCCUUAAUCCAAGGGCCGAAAACUUACAAGCACUAAUGACUUAAGUACUUUUAAAAGUAUAGGAGCUCAAUUUUUAUUAUUUAAUAUCUUAAUUUGCGGGAACCUGUAUGAAAUUAAUC
RNAcentral lists this long non-coding RNA (2119 nucleotides) under Ananas comosus (pineapple). RNAcentral's name for it is "long non-coding RNA (ACOM_LNC002919)". Lineage: Eukaryota; Viridiplantae; Streptophyta; Magnoliopsida; Poales; Bromeliaceae. The record is from RNAcentral.